Molecule: long non-coding RNA, 1611 nt
Organism: Archocentrus centrarchus (flier cichlid)
Lineage: Eukaryota; Metazoa; Chordata; Actinopteri; Cichliformes; Cichlidae
Exons: 11
Source: RefSeq, a predicted model, not a curated record
CUUGGAGCCGGAAGAAACUGAGGGACCUUCUAACACAUACAUUGGACCACUGACGCCAUGUCUUCUUUGUGGAGAGGAAUUUCCGUUUUCACAGAUAAGGCAACACAAUCAGUCUUGUUCAAGACGAUCACAGGAUGGCAGGGAAAGACAGACUGAAGGUGAGAAUGGAGAGGAAUCUGUCCCUUCCACCAGUGGGGCAAGUCGCAGCUCUUCACGGCAACAAGUUGCAGAUAUAGUGGUGACACUGGAGACAGGUUCAGAUCAGGCUGGUCCUUCAACUGCUCUAAGCACACAGCAGCCUAAUCCUCCAGAUAUUCAGAGGGACCUCGGAAAUGCUUGGAUUACAGAAGUAGUUCCAGCCAAAGCGUCUGAGCUGUACAUUGAGUCAGUACAUGAAGCAAACAAGGAUAAAGAGAGUCUUUCAUUUACCCUGAGUUUAAGAGAUACCCUGAAGGAAAGGAACCGUGCCAUUCUGAGAUUCUACAAAAGGCCACGGGUGCAGUGGACUAACCCACUGCGAUGUCAUCUCAUAGGUGAUGCUGCCAUUGGAGAGGGUGUUAAUAGACAUGUACUUUCAAUAGUCAUGUCAAACCUUCAGAAUGGAUUCUUGCUUGAUGACGAAACUGAACUGAAGACAUUGCUGUUUGAGGGUGAGCAGGACCAUCUCACUCCCUCUACAUCGAGGCUGCUCCUAGAAAGCGACUUUUUCGUGUGGCGGGUCGAAUUAUCGGCCACAGCUUUCUGAAUGGUGGUCCUUGUCUGGUUGGUCUCAGCCAAGGAAUCAUCCAUGUGCUGUUUGGAGGGGAACCAGAAACAGCCACUGUAACUGAGUCAGAUUGUGCUGACCAAGAUGUCCGUGAGGUCAUAAGAAUGUUACAGGGAACAAAGGAUUUGUCAGAGGAGGAGAAAUCCGUGGUUCUCUCUUUGACGUUGCCAUGGGAUCUUCCUGGAGUUACAGUCAAUAACAGACAUUGGCUCCAAGAAAAAAAUACUCCUCCAUGCUGUUUUGGAAAGAACAGCACAACAGGUGAAACAAAUCCGAAGAGGGCUGAAAGACACAGGUGUGUGGGAAUUUUUCAGUUCCAGGCCUGAUGCUGUGCCAGUACUUUUUCCAAGGGCCAGUGAGGCAGAGAUAACCCCACAGAUGGUAAUCGAUAACAUAAACUGGCCUAAAGAUGAAGAUAUAGAUGAAGACAUACUCUCGUUGGAUGAUCACUGUCUGAUCAUGAGCUUCCUCCGAAGAUUCAUAGAAAAUGGAACAUCAGACAUCCUCAAGAGUUUACUAACAUUCUGGACUGGCUGGGGUGUGGUAUGCUCCAAUCUCGAGGUCGAAGUUAUUGACUGCAGUCUCCCACAGUCGUCCACUUGCUUCCUGACUUUGAAGCGAUCCAAAAACCACAAAAACUAUGAAGACUUCCACCAAGACCUUAUGGCAAGCAUUUCUUCGGCCUAUUCUGGUUUUGGUCAGAUUUAAGCUGGGCCAUUUAAACAACGAAUGUUGUUGGUUAUUGGUAUUAUUACUUUUAAAUUGUUCUUAUGGUUCAGUCUCUUGAUAGAUAUGGAUAUUCUGGAAUAAUCCACUUGUUAAUUAUGUAUUAGAAUUUGACAGUA